Molecule: long non-coding RNA, 405 nt
Organism: Dromaius novaehollandiae (emu)
Lineage: Eukaryota; Metazoa; Chordata; Aves; Casuariiformes; Dromaiidae
Exons: 3
Source: RefSeq, a predicted model, not a curated record
CUGCUGCGCCCCGCCCCGCCCCCGGCCCCGCCCCCGCCCCCGCGCUCGGCCCCACCCUCAGCGCCGGCCCCGCCCCGGGCAAGAUGGCGGCGCCCAGCGAGUGCGCGAGGCCGUGAGAGGGCCAUGGCGGAGCCGGGAGCCGGGGGGGGGCCGCGGGAGCCCCCCCGCAGCCUCCAGGGGCUGCUGCAGCUGGCGGUGACGGCGAGCGAGCCCCGCGCCGAGCCCGCGGCCGAGCCGCGCGAGCCGCUCUCCGAGGAGCGGCGCGAGUGGCUGCGGGCGGCGGUGACCGAGGCGCUGAGCGGCGCCGGGGGGACGUGGAGCAGCUGCGGCGCUGCCUGCGGGUGCUGGCGGAGGAGGAGGAGGAGGAGGAGGAGGCCGAAGCCGAGGGGGAGGCCGAGGCCGAGG